Molecule: long non-coding RNA, 521 nt
Filed under: Bos taurus (domestic cattle)
Lineage: Eukaryota; Metazoa; Chordata; Mammalia; Artiodactyla; Bovidae
Description: long non-coding RNA NONBTAT024763
Source: RNAcentral
ACAAUCAUGCUUAAGCUGUGAAAAUUUUCAAGAUUUUUACCCAUAGUUAUUAAGCAAAUAGACUCAUACUCUUUCUUUGAUGUUUUAAAUUUUUUAUCUUAACCAGAUAGAUAUGGUUAAACUUUUUGAGCAUUGCCAGACCAAAUACAGUUCUUGUGGUGUGACAGGGAAGGAUCAGUAGAUCAGUAGCACAUUAUUAGCCCUUAGGCUGGGCACAUACAUACCUACAUAAUUAACCUGUUACUUGAGAUCACCUUGCCUCUAAACAAGUGGUCUUGAAAAUGAGGUAGAGAAAGGUAAAAAGAUCAGACUGCUUGUGACAGGGAGAGGAACAUCUGUUAGAGGAAGGGUUUAAAGAAAAUCUGGCCCGUGGAAUUAAUGCCAGAGGGCAUGUGCUGCUGUAGAAUAUCCUGUAGUCUAAGUUGGAUGAAUAAACAAACCAAGCAACCAAAAAACCUUCAUAUUUUACAUGUGAGAGGAGCUCUCCCUUAUGAAAUUCUUAGUUGACAUUGGAAAUGCAU